RNAcentral lists this microRNA (22 nucleotides) under Notamacropus eugenii (tammar wallaby). RNAcentral describes it as "meu-miR-6313". Lineage: Eukaryota; Metazoa; Chordata; Mammalia; Diprotodontia; Macropodidae. The record is from miRBase by way of RNAcentral.
UUUGUUCUGUGAAGUUUGGAUU